This is a non-coding RNA of Meleagris gallopavo (turkey), 365 nucleotides long. The record is from RefSeq and is a predicted model, not a curated record. NCBI's taxonomy places the organism in Eukaryota, Metazoa, Chordata, Aves, Galliformes, Phasianidae.
UCGUCCAGGGAAAGGUUCAUGGCUUGGUAAAGGCAACUUGGAUACAGGACCAGACCAAUCCAGUAUGUCAUUAGAAAAUCUUGUGUUUGGAGCUGGCUACUGCAAACCCACUUCAUCAGAGGGAAGUUUUUAUGUCCCAUCUGAAAACUGCAUGCAACAUGCAUAUAAAUGGCAUAAGGAUCUCUGUCUUCUGCUCUUGAUGCUCAAAGAGGACUUCACGUGUACUACACCCUCAUAAUGAAGGAGGUUCCUGAUUUACCACAGCUGAAGUUGGAGGAACUACCUGUGGAAGAUACGUUAUCUCAGUUCUGUGCAGAGCUGCAGGUAUUGUCUUUAACAGAAUCAGUUGGUGCUUUUUUUCAAGU